AGUGAACGCUGGCGGUAGGCCUAACACAUGCAAGUCGAACGGCAGCACAGUAAGAGCUUGCGCUGACGGGUGGCGAGUGGCGGACGGGUGAGGAAUACAUCGGAAUCUACUUUUUCGGGGGGGAUAACGUAGGGAAACUUACGCUAAUACCGCAUACGACCUACGGGUGAAAGCAGGGGAUCUUCGGACCUUGCGCGAUUGAAUGAGCCGAUGUCGGAUUAGCUAGUUGGCGGGGUAAAGGCCCACCAAGGCGACGAUCCGUAGCUGGUCUGAGAGGAUGAUCAGCCACACUGGAACUGAGCCACGGUCCGGACUCCUACGGGAGGCAGCAGUGGGGAAUAUUGGACAAUGGGCGCAAGCCUGAUCCAGCCGUACCGCGUGGGUGACGACGGCCUUCGGGUUGUAAAGCCCUUUUGUUGGGAAAGAACAGCAGCAGGUUAAUACCCCGCUGUUCUGACGGUACCCAAAGAAUAAGCACCGGCUAACUUCGUG
This 492-nucleotide ribosomal RNA is filed under the name uncultured bacterium. RNAcentral describes it as "partial 16S ribosomal RNA". It matches the Rfam family "Bacterial small subunit ribosomal RNA", at positions 29 to 507 of the family's 1533-position model. The record is from RNAcentral.